UGGGGAAUUUUGGACAAUGGGCGCAAGCCUGAUCCAGCCAUGCCGCGUGCAGGAUGAAGGCCUUCGGGUUGUAAACUGCUUUUGUACGGAACGAAAAGGUGCCUUCUAAUAAAGGGCGCUCAUGACGGUACCGUAAGAAUAAGCACCGGCUAACUACGUGCCAGCAGCCGCGGUAAUACGUAGGGUGCGAGCGUUAAUCGGAAUUACUGGGCGUAAAGCGUGCGCAGGCGGCUUUGUAAGACAGAGGUGAAAUCCCCGGGCUCAACCUGGGAACUGCCUUUGUGACUGCAAGGCUGGAGUGCGGCGGAGGGGGAUGGAAUUCCGCGUGUAGCAGUGAAAUGCGUAGAUAUGCGGAGGAACACCGAUGGCGAAGGCAAUCCCCUGGGCCUGCACUGACGCUCAUGCACGAAAGCGUGGGGAGCAAACA
Molecule: ribosomal RNA, 427 nt
Filed under: uncultured bacterium
Lineage: Bacteria
Description: bacterial SSU rRNA
Rfam family: Bacterial small subunit ribosomal RNA
Source: RNAcentral